RNAcentral lists this long non-coding RNA (296 nucleotides) under Ananas comosus (pineapple). RNAcentral describes it as "long non-coding RNA (ACOM_LNC033514)". The record is from RNAcentral. Lineage: Eukaryota; Viridiplantae; Streptophyta; Magnoliopsida; Poales; Bromeliaceae.
GAUAUCAUUUUUAUCUGAUUCUCCUGCUGCAACACUUGCUUCUGUUUCAGUAUUGGUGUUUUUCUGACCUUGAUUUUUAUCACCAUUAUUCUUCCGCUACUCUUUAUUUUUCAACUUGAAACAAUCAGCUUUUAUGUGACCCUUCUUCUUACAAUAACUACAAAUCAGAUUCCUGUGCUUUGACUUUGAUCUAGAUGUACCUCUAUUACCAGAACCCUUCUCUCAAGACUUCCCUCUAGCGACCAAACCUUGUCCUGAAGCUCCACCUAUCUCGUUGCUUAUCUAUAUGUCAAUUC